RNAcentral lists this ribosomal RNA (373 nucleotides) under uncultured eukaryote. Its description in RNAcentral is "partial 28S ribosomal RNA". The record is from RNAcentral.
UGUGUGGUGGUAAACGGAGGAGCCCCUCGAAGUUGGGCCUCGAGGUUCAAGCUGAUUGACUGGCGCUUCCUUCUUUGAUUUCCGGUUCAGCAAUGACUCGGGUUAAAGUUUGGUUGGCGUUCAACCGGUUGCAUUUCUCGAGGCUUUUCACGCCACGAACUACUAUUGGGGCGACUGUCAGCGCGGGUGAAGUUCUAUUUUUUUGAGAGUGAUUUUUUUCAUUUUCAAAGGGUGGAACACCUUCGCGUUUGUAGCUCGGCCUAUAGUGGGUAUUUGAAAGCAAACUCGUAUAGCGAGUGUCUUUGCUGACACGGUUUGCAUUUCUGUGGCGAGUAGGUCGGUGGCUUCUCCGACCCGUCUUGAAACACGGACC